RNAcentral lists this ribosomal RNA (119 nucleotides) under Fervidicoccus fontis. The record is from RNAcentral. Lineage: Archaea; Thermoproteati; Thermoproteota; Thermoprotei; Fervidicoccales; Fervidicoccaceae.
CGGCCCGGCCAUAGCGGCUGGGCAACACCUGGACUCGUCAGAUCCCAGAAGUUAAGCCAGCCGUGUUGGGGUUCCCCGUGAGCUCCGAGAGGGCUCGCAGGGACCCCAAGCCGGGACCG